Molecule: transfer RNA, 68 nt
Filed under: Planctomycetaceae bacterium
Lineage: Bacteria; Pseudomonadati; Planctomycetota; Planctomycetia; Planctomycetales; Planctomycetaceae
Description: tRNA-Ser
Rfam family: tRNA
About the family: Transfer RNA (tRNA) molecules are approximately 80 nucleotides in length. Their secondary structure includes four short double-helical elements and three loops (D, anti-codon, and T loops).
Source: RNAcentral
GAAAGUGAAAGGAAAGGUGAUAGGGACUUUUAAUCCGUAGGUCCAGGGUUCGAGUCCCUGCGCCUUCA